This 854-nucleotide ribosomal RNA is filed under the name Escherichia coli. RNAcentral describes it as "partial 23S ribosomal RNA". It matches the Rfam family "Bacterial large subunit ribosomal RNA", at positions 1 to 888 of the family's 2925-position model. The record is from RNAcentral. Lineage: Bacteria; Pseudomonadati; Pseudomonadota; Gammaproteobacteria; Enterobacterales; Enterobacteriaceae.
GGGUUGUGAGGUUAAGCGACUAAGCGUACACGGUGGAUGCCCUGGCAGUCAGAGGCGAUGAAGGACGUGCUAAUCUGCGAUAAGCGUCGGUAAGGUGAUAUGAACCGUUAUAACCGGCGAUUUCCGAAUGGGGAAACCCAGUGUGUUUCGACACACUAUCAUUAACUGAAUCCAUAGGUUAAUGAGGCGAACCGGGGGAACUGAAACAUCUAAGUACCCCGAGGAAAAGAAAUCAACCGAGAUUCCCCCAGUAGCGGCGAGCGAACGGGGAGCAGCCCAGAGCCUGAAUCAGUGUGUGUGUUAGUGGAAGCGUCUGGAAAGGCGCGCGAUACAGGGUGACAGCCCCGUACACAAAAAUGCACAUACUGUGAGCUCGAUGAGUAGGGCGGGACACGUGGUAUCCUGUCUGAAUAUGGGGGGACCAUCCUCCAAGGCUAAAUACUCCUGACUGACCGAUAGUGAACCAGUACCGUGAGGGAAAGGCGAAAAGAACCCCGGCGAGGGGAGUGAAAAAGAACCUGAAACCGUGUACGUACAAGCAGUGGGAGCACGCUUCGGCGUGUGACUGCGUACCUUUUGUAUAAUGGGUCAGCGACUUAUAUUCUGUAGCAAGGUUAACCGAAUAGGGGAGCCGAAGGGAAACCGAGUCUUAACUGGGCGUUAAGUUGCAGGGUAUAGACCCGAAACCCGGUGAUCUAGCCAUGGGCAGGUUGAAGGUUGGGUAACACUAACUGGAGGACCGAACCGACUAAUGUUGAAAAAUUAGCGGAUGACUUGUGGCUGGGGGUGAAAGGCCAAUCAAACCGGGAGAUAGCUGGUUCUCCCCGAAAGCUAUUUAGGUAGCGCCUCGUGAA